Molecule: ribosomal RNA, 1220 nt
Filed under: uncultured prokaryote
Description: partial 16S ribosomal RNA
Rfam family: Bacterial small subunit ribosomal RNA
Source: RNAcentral
CAGGACGAACGUUGGCGGUGCGCUUAAUGCAUGCAAGUCGAGGGAGAACCAUUCGUUUCGUAAGAUCCGGAUGGGGAAACCGGCGAACGGGUGCGUAACACGUGAGGAACCUGCCCCGAAGACCGGGAUAGCCCGGGGAAACCCGGAUUAAUACCGGAUACCCUCAUCGGACCGCAUGGUCUGAUGAGGAAAUGGUCAGCCGCUUCGGGAUGGCCUCGCGGCCUAUCAGCUUGUUGGUGAGGUAACGGCUCACCAAGGCUAAGACGGGUAGCUGGUCUGAGAGGACGAUCAGCCACACUGGGACUGAGACACGGCCCAGACUCCUACGGGAGGCAGCAGCAGGGAAUAUUGCACAAUGGGCGAAAGCCUGAUGCAGCGACACCGCGUGCGGGAUGAAGGCCUUCGGGUUGUAAACCGCUUUCAGGAGCGACGAAAAUGACGGUACCUCCAGAAGAAGGCCCGGCCAACUACGUGCCAGCAGCCGCGGUAACACGUAGGGGCCAAACGUUGUCCGGAAUCAUUGGGCGUAAAGAGCUCGUAGGCGGUUCAGCAAGUCGGCUGUGAAAGUCCGAGGCUCAACCUCGGAACUGCAGUCGAUACUGCUGUGACUCGAGUCCGGUAGAGGAGAAUGGAAUUCCCGGUGUAGCGGUGAAAUGCGCAGAUAUCGGGAGGAACACCAGUAGCGAAGGCGGUUCUCUGGGCCGGUACUGACGCUGAGGAGCGAAAGCAUGGGUAGCAAACAGGAUUAGAUACCCUGGUAGUCCAUGCCGUAAACGUUGGACACUAGGUGUGGCGUUCCGACCAACGGGUGCCGUGCCGAAGCUAACGCAUUAAGUGUCCCGCCUGGGGAGUACGGCCGCAAGGCUAAAACUCAAAGGAAUUGACGGGUCCCCGCACAAGCGGCGGAGCAUGCGGCUUAAUUCGAUCCAACCCGAAGAACCUUACCUGGGUUUGACAUCACGGGAAAAGCUGUGGAAACGUAGUGUCCAUUAGUGCCCGUGACAGGUGGUGCAUGGCUGUCGUCAGCUCGUGUCGUGAGAUGUUGGGUUAAGUCCCGCAACGAGCGCAACCCUUAUUCUAUGUUGCCAGCGGUUCGGCCGGGGACUCAUAGGAGACUGCCGGGAUAACUCGGAGGAAGGCGAGGACGAUGUCAAGUCAUCAUGCCCCUUAUAUCCAGGGCUGCACGCAUGCUACAAUGGCCGGUACAACGGGCAGCGACC